UCAUUGAGUAGUACUAUUACCAGUGAUGUCAUAAAAUUAAAAAUUGAUUUAUUUUAUUAUCAGUCUCGUCUAAUUUACUGGUGCCAGAAGACUCGGUAACGCCAGAGAGGCCAACGUUAAUCAUCAUAACCAGGCGUAAAGGAUAUGUAGGCCGCUAAAAUUACAACAAAUAAACAUAUCAAAUAUUAAUAUUAGAUAGUUUAAUAUAAUUUGAAGUAAUAAGCUAGAAUCAAAAUAAAGUUGAACCGUAUAAUAUUUAGACCAUAGUUAAAAUUAUCAGAAUCUAGAUAGAAUACUAAUGGCGUAAGCUACCAAUGUUUAAUGAUUGACGCUGAUAUAUGAAGGUUAGGAUAGUAAAACAGAUUAGAUACCUGAUUAGCCCUUUCUGUCAACGAUGAAUGGUAGUCAUUAAUUGAUAUAAUAUAUCAUUAUAUGUACUAUGUUAACACAUGGAACCAUUCCGCCUUGUG
Molecule: ribosomal RNA, 470 nt
Filed under: Phlebia sp.
Lineage: Eukaryota; Fungi; Basidiomycota; Agaricomycetes; Polyporales; Meruliaceae
Description: partial small subunit ribosomal RNA
Rfam family: Bacterial small subunit ribosomal RNA
Source: RNAcentral